GCUCCAUUUACCUGUGGGUGAAGAGAUGGAGAAGAAUGCAUUUAGAAUCUGGACAUGACCAGAGGGAGAAAGUCAACAUUUUGGGGACUUGUCUGGGAUUCCAGAGAACAACACUGACGGCUUCAUGGCAGGUGAGCAACCAGUUGCUGGCACCCGACAUAGAGCCACUUUGGCUGCUGUCUUGCUUUCCAAUUUGAAUGCUUAGGGAGGACGUUUCCUGACUAGCCACUCUAGAGGCAGCCCUUCCAACUUCUCUCACUUCUGAGCUCCCCUAGGGUGCACAGAAGCAUAAGAGCCCCCCACCAAGUAUAGGCAUCCCUAAGUCGGUGACACCACACACUGCCAAAAGGGUAUGCAAGAGUUUAUUACUUCCAUAAAUGAUGUCUCUGGGAAGUAAGGCAGGCCUCUCAAGGCAUGAAAUGAAAGAGCAUGGAAAAGCACAUGGACUUGUUUUGUUCAGGUUGUGAGUGGACUAAAGUGAGUUCACUCACAGGGGCAGCAGCUUGCAUGGACUGAAUCUUUUGCCACCCCCAAAGGAGAAAGCACGAAGUCUUCCUUAUCACCCUGGAUAAAUGUGGGGCACAAGAAGGAGGAGGCUGAGGCUUUAAAGCUGUCAGCAGUCGAUCAUCAAAAACUGGAGUCAGAUUUCUUUUGCUUUUUUUUUUUCUCUCCUGUCUGUCAUAUAGUAAACUUAGUAGCUGUUGUUCCCAGCCUCACAACACAAAAGCAAAAAACCUAAAAUGAACAACCUUCUUGGGUCUAUCAGAAAACUGAGGACAUGGGGAAACCACCAUCUCCAAAACUGGAGAGACACAAAAAAAAGCUAUUUUAUAAUAUGAUCAGAAUAUUCUAUAGUUAAAAAAACCUGUCCUUAAAAUAACCUGUUUCACUAGGGCCUAACCAAAGACAAUAAAGAACAUAAUAUCCAAGAACUGUGUGACACUGUCAUUGUAAAAUGACAGCUGUAACAUACACAUAAUAGGAAUACUUGAUAGAAAAAAAAGGCAGAAAGGAACAGAAGAAAUAAGUGAAGCAAUAAUCACUGAGGUUUUCCUAACAUUAGUGACAGACAGCAAAAUGUAGAUCCAGUAAGCUAAGAGAACAUAAAACAUGAAAACAAACAAAACAUGAAAAAAAAAACAACCCAAAAAUGCACACCCAAGCAUAUUAUAUUCAAAGUGGAGAAAAAUCAAAGACAAAGAUAAUUUACUGAAAAAAAACUAAAGAGGAAAAAACAAACCUUAGUUAUACUGAAACAAGGAUAAGAAUUGGAUUUAUUUUCAGAGACCAUGCAAGCAAGAAGACAGUAGAGUGAAAUAUUUAAAAUGCUGCAAUUUAAAAAAACAACAAACCAAUAUCCUAUGAUUCUGUGUCAAGCAAAAUUAUUCAAAAGUGAGAGAGAAAUAAAGACUUUCCGAGAUAAAAACUGAGAGAAUCUGACAUCAAUACCUGUUUUGCAAGAAAUGUUAAAAGAAAAUGAUCAGAAAAAAGAUAAAUGAUAGAGGUGGAGCAUCAAAAAAAGGGAUUAAUGAAGAUAAAAUAUAUUACCCUUGUAAUAUAUAUAAAAUAUACAUUAUUAUUCUUUUUUUUAUUUGUACUUAAUCUGAUAUUACUCUGUUCAAGGAUAAGUGAAACAAAUGACAACAAUGUUAAAAGAGACAGAGGGAGGAAUUGAAAAUAUACGUGACCCUUGAACAUCUAUGGGUUUGAACUGUGUGGGUCCUCUUAUAUGUGGAUUUUUUUCAGUACAGUUGGCCCACUUAUACUUGGAUUUUUAAAGCCUCCUGUAUAAUUCUCCAGGCCCUCCUGCAGAUAAUCAGAAAUGUAAACACAGUCCACAACUGCCAGAGACUAAAGGAACCAAAGGGAAGAAAUGGAAAGGAGAGCCUUUUGAAAAAGUUCCCUUAUCUAAGCCCCUGUACUCCCCCCAACCCGCCAUGCUUACUUAAAAAUUAUGUGUCAAGGACAAAUACAAAUCUUAAAGGUCUUCUUUAAAAGUGGUAAAAGCCUUGCCAUCUGAACAUAUAAACCUAACUUAUUCCAACUGUAAUAAGUUAGUGAGUUUUUUUGCCUUAUUAUACUUGUCUCAUGGCUGAAAUUUUAAAAAUGAAACUAUCAGGUCUCUGGUUGCAUCUGUCUAUAUAUAUGUGUGUGUGUGUCUACCUGCAGAGCAUAUUAACAAAAUUGUUUUAUAGAAUGCUCUGUUUAACUUAAAAAAAUUAAGUGCUUAUAUAAAUUAAGAAAUAUAACAGAAACUAACCCAAAUAUUUUUCAGGCUCUGGAAAAAUAUUUGAUAUUAAAGUUCAU
Long non-coding RNA from Rhinolophus ferrumequinum (greater horseshoe bat), 2307 nucleotides. RefSeq lists it as uncharacterized. The transcript is spliced from 3 exons. The record is from RefSeq and is a predicted model, not a curated record. Lineage: Eukaryota; Metazoa; Chordata; Mammalia; Chiroptera; Rhinolophidae.